GACGAAGGGAGCGAGCGUUGCUCGGAAUAAUUGGGCGUAAAGGGUGCGUAGGUGGUUUUUUAAGUGAGAUGUUAAAGACCUGGACUCAAUCUAGGAAAUGCAUUUCAUACUGAAAAACUUGAGUGUGGGAGAGGAAACAGGAAUUCCUCAUGUAGAGGUGAAAUUCGUAGAUAUGAGGAGGAACACCAAAGGCGAAGGCAAGUUUCUGGAACACAACUGACACUGAGGCACGAAAGCGUGGGGAGCAAACAGG
This 253-nucleotide ribosomal RNA is filed under the name uncultured bacterium. RNAcentral's name for it is "partial 16S ribosomal RNA". It matches the Rfam family "Bacterial small subunit ribosomal RNA", at positions 524 to 776 of the family's 1533-position model. The record is from RNAcentral.